This 450-nucleotide ribosomal RNA is filed under the name uncultured bacterium. RNAcentral describes it as "partial 16S ribosomal RNA". It matches the Rfam family "Bacterial small subunit ribosomal RNA", at positions 354 to 796 of the family's 1533-position model. The record is from RNAcentral.
GUGGGGAAUUUUGGACAAUGGGCGCAAGCCUGAUCCAGCCAUUCCGCGUGCAGGAUGAAGGCCUUCGGGUUGUAAACUGCUUUUGUACGGAACGAAAAGCCUCUGGUUAAUACCCGGGGGUCAUGACGGUACCGUAAGAAUAAGCACCGGCUAACUACGUGCCAGCAGCCGCGGUAAUACGUAGGGUGCGAGCGUUAAUCGGAAUUACUGGGCGUAAAGCGUGCGCAGGCGGUUUUGUAAGACAGGCGUGAAAUCCCCGGGCUCAACCUGGGAAUUGCGCUUGUGACUGCAAGGCUGGAGUGCGGCAGAGGGGGAUGGAAUUCCGCGUGUAGCAGUGAAAUGCGUAGAUAUGCGGAGGAACACCGAUGGCGAAGGCAAUCCCCUGGGCCUGCACUGACGCUCAUGCACGAAAGCGUGGGGAGCAAACAGGAUUAGAUACCCGUGUAGUCC